ACGUAGGAGACGAACGUUAUCCGGAGUUACUGGGCGUAAAGGGCGUGUAGGCGGUAUGUUAAGUCUGGCGUGAAAGCUCUCGGCUAAACCGGGAGAGGUCGUUGGAUACUGGCACACUAGAGGAUGGUAGAGGCGUGUGGAAUUCCGGGUGUAGUGGUGAAAUGCGUAGAGAUCCGGAGGAACACCAGUGGCGAAGGCGACACGCUGGGCCAUACCUGACGCUAAAGCGCGACAGCAUGGGGAGCAAACGGGAUUAGAAACCCCGGUAGUCCAUGCCGUAAACGAUGCCAGCUAGAUGUUCAGUUCUCGCAAGAGAACGGGGUAUCGAAGCAAACGCGAUAAGCUGGCCGCCUGGGGAGUACGGUCGCAAGGCUA
Molecule: ribosomal RNA, 375 nt
Filed under: uncultured bacterium
Lineage: Bacteria
Description: bacterial SSU rRNA
Rfam family: Bacterial small subunit ribosomal RNA
Source: RNAcentral